This is a long non-coding RNA of Daphnia pulex (common water flea), 846 nucleotides long. RefSeq lists it as uncharacterized. The record is from RefSeq and is a predicted model, not a curated record. The transcript is spliced from 5 exons. Lineage: Eukaryota; Metazoa; Arthropoda; Branchiopoda; Diplostraca; Daphniidae.
UGUCGACAGCUCAAUGGUUAAGGCGCUAUCGCUUACUUCCGGUCUACUUCCGGAAAAUUUACAUUAAACUAGCAAGUGAGCUUUAUUCUCUGUACACUUCUAAGGAUUGCAUGCUAAUUUAAGCAAAGAGAAAUGGUCUUUUUGAUUACUUUUAUGACUUGUACUAUCUAAGGCCAGUCCUUUAGAUAUUGAGUUUUGAACGUGUCAAAUAGAUGGCGUGAAAGAAUGUUGUUUGUUGUGUCACAAAUGGGCUAAUGGCGGUUCGUUGUCAAAAGUUCAGCUACAGCUAUCUUCUUCGAAAAUUACCAAUGAAUUCGUUGGAAAAAAUGUGAAAGGUACAGAACCCAGUACUGUCAACUAUUGUGUUAAAAAUACUGGUAGGCCUAUCCUACAGAAUAUGUCAUCCAAAUGACAGAGUGGAUUCAUCACUAUUAUCGGCUGAAUCAUUCUAUGGGACUUGCCAGAUCACCAACCUUAGCAUGGACCAAUGUAUUUAAAGUUUUAGGUUUCUAAUGUAGCAUGAAAGACUUUAUGAGAAGUCAUGUUGUUUGAAGAAAAAGGACUAUAUACAGUUGACAAGGUUCUAUGCUAACCUGUUGGCUGCUACCCUUGAAUCUCCCUGUUUACUUCCUUACACGGGUCCUCUUGAUUUGAGGGUAACUCUUUCGCUACUGAUCACAUCCACUGUUGUAAACUGAUGAGAGAAUGCUGCAAUUCAAGAAUGAUGUAGUUGGUAGAUAAAUGACAAGCGCAUAUCUGGGCUCCCUUCUUUUCUGUGGCCCCGUUUCCCUAACUAACCACUAACCAACGCCCGCCGGUUGUCACUCACCCGCUGUGAAACCAGGA